This 91-nucleotide microRNA precursor is filed under the name Canis lupus familiaris (dog). RNAcentral describes it as "mir-8799 microRNA precursor family". It matches the Rfam family "mir-8799 microRNA precursor family". Lineage: Eukaryota; Metazoa; Chordata; Mammalia; Carnivora; Canidae. The record is from Rfam by way of RNAcentral.
GGGGGGAGGCUGGAUCCUGGGCUGUGUCCCCGCGCUCUGUGCUCCGGGGCCUGCGCUGUUGGAUUCGCGCUCCCGGGCCACGCAGCCCCCU